ACGUAGGGUGGGAGUUGGCAGUGUGUUUUUCUGUCAUUUACCGUCGUGUUAAUAAAGUUUGCGUGCACUGUUCCUCCACACUACGGGCGUCAGUGGCGGGCUGUAUUAUUCACGCAUUGCUAUUUAUGCAUUUGUUCUUUAAAUAUUUUAGUGAUAUAGAAAAUGUAUUAGUGGAUACUUUAGUAGUGUUGUGUAGCCUUUAACCGCCCUGGUGCCUUAUUGAGCAUCUAGACACACUCUUAUCAUGAAUGUGCCCAUCUCAAUCAGUAAGGCAAUAUUACUGGUCAGGUUUUGCUUCCAUCGUGCAAAUUACUAAUUGCACUGGUGACAAUGAGACCUGCCACAUUGUCUUGUUGAUCUGUCAUUUGUUGACCAGAUGAGUUGUACAGAAUCUCUACUUGAGGCUUAACCUCUAAACUGAACAAGUGAUGAAUAUCAGGCAUUGAUCUGGAAAUGGCAUUAGAUAAUAUGCUGCUGAUAUUUUGCAGGAAGAAUACUGUUCCAUGAAAACAAUAAUGCAAACUGAACACUGAAUUGAUGGGUCGAUCCAUAUUGCUUGGCUUACAGUUGAUGCACAUGGGGGUUAUGGAGCGCUAAAGAUGCAGUUAAAAGCUUGAAGCAAGCUUUACAAGUCUGGGAGUAGGCACAUCCGUGGUAUGAAGAUGCAAACUGAGAAAGCAGAAAUUCAAAUCUGAAUGAUGGCUGUCCUUUCAGGUGCUGCAUGCAGACAUGUGGGAGCUCUGGAGAAAGGUAAAUGUAUGAGUCAUAUAGCUAGGUUAGAUCCCAGGGAGGUGCCCUGCUGCAGCCAGGGUGCUCCCCAGUGUCUGAAGAAGAUGCCCCAAGCCAGAAGCUACACAUGCAGCUUCAUCAGCCCCUGCUGCACCCACAACAACCCCCACCUCCCAGUCCAUAAAUACUUUGUUUAUAUAGUAGGAGGGAGAGGAUAAACAGAUAUGCCAGCAUAUAGCUUUAGUGGUGGCUGGGCUAGUAGUGUUCUUUAUAGGCAAGGUAAGAACACAUUUCAGGAGCCAAACUACAUGCCCUUUUCUAUCUCAGUAUUCCUCACAUAGUCCACUGGGAAAUAGACUUUUUAUUGAAAAAAUACUAGAUCCUAGUGGAUAGUAUGGUUUACGGGAAAAGCUGUGUAUAGGCAACUAGGAAAUAGACUGCUUGUUUAAAAGACACUAGAUCCUAGUGGAUAAUAGUAUCCUUUAAACCAAAGCUGUAUAUAGGCAACUAGGAAAUAGAUUUUUUUUAUUUAAAAGACACUAGAUCCUAGUGGAUAAUAGUAUCCUAGAUCCUAUGUAGCCCAUUUAUAGCAUGUCAUUAUGCAUAACCCACUAGAAAAUAAAUAUAAUUCUCUUUAUAAAAUAUACUAGAUCAUAGUGGCUAACAGUAUGAAAUAAGAACCAAAUUAUAUUAACUGAAAGAGGAAAUAUUGACAAUUUGAUAUUUACAAUUUCUUAAUACUGUUAAAUUUAUGAGUGGAAAUAAAAUGUUAAUUUAUUAAUUCUCUAUAUUACUUUAUUAUAUGAUUUUGAAUACUCUAACUAGCUAUAAAUAGGCUAGUUGAAAUACUUUAUUUUACUAGGUGACAGCAUUUUUAACCAGGAUAAAAUUACUGCCUUUUACAAUUAUGAUUUAAAUUUCUCAUUUAAAAUUAGCUAAAUUAUACCAUCCAGUCUUUAGAAGCACUGAAAAUAAGUGGGAUCUAUCCUACCUGCACUGUAUUUUAUAAUUCCUAUGAGUAUUCAUUUUCAAACUAGAAUAUAGUCCAACUAUAUAAAAAUAGUCUAUUUCCUUAUAUGUAAAAGUACACUGUUUCGUUACCAACUAGGAACUAGAUAUAUCUGACCAUAUUAUCUAGUUUCUAUUGCUGUUCAUUUUCCCACUAGAUUUUAGCCCAACUGUACUGAAAUAUCUAUUUCCUACUCUCCAAAUCUGCUCUGUUCCAUUAUCAACUUGGAACUAGACGCAACCUUGCUGCGAUGCCACAUGCUCUGUCUUCUCAAGCCUCACAUGCGCUCUUACACUCUUUUUAAUCCCAUCAUGCAACUAGUUUCCUGACUCUAAAUAAGUGUAAGGCAUGUUUUCUUUAUUGCUCUGACUGGCAUAUAACAUACAUUUUCGUGCACAUUUAUAUAUCAAAAAUUAUUGUAUCUAGAAAUACUAUUUGUGCAUUUUGCGUCGCAGAAAUAUAACAAAAUACUAUGCGCCUGCGCACUGAGCUUUCCGCUUCGAUCCUAUACCAAGAUGGCGUUUGUCUGUCGCACCUGACCAACCAGUUAUCGCAAUUUACCCUGUCGUCAUCACAAAUCGGCCUUAUUGCUUCUACAUCGCGAGAUUCUCCUGGCUGUGGCUGCCCAUUGCAGAAUGUGAGCGCGAGUUAUUUGCCCCGCCCCGUGCUUAGCCCUGAGGGUAUAAAGCUUUGUGCGCCAUGUUCUUUCUCAUUUUGCUGUGUAGCGAGGCAUUGAUCUGGAAAUGGCAUUAGAUAAUAUGCUGCUGAUAUUUUGCAGGAAGAAUACUGUUCCAUGAAAACAAUAAUGCAAACUGAACACUGAAUUGAUGGGUCGAUCCAUAUUGCUUGGCUUACAGUUGAUGCACAUGGGGGUUAUGGAGCGCUAAAGAUGCAGUUAAAAGCUUGAAGCAAGCUUUACAAGUCUGGGAGUAGGCACAUCCGUGGUAUGAAGAUGCAAACUGAGAAAGCAGAAAUUCAAAUCUGAAUGAUGGAUAUCCUUUCAGGUGCUGCAUGCAGACAUGUGGGAGCUCUGGAGAAAGAAGCUGCAAAUGUUAAACUUGCUAUGGAGAAAACACAAAGCAUACUUAAGGUUUACAGAAAGGUUUGACUGGACUCCAAUUUUCUCCACAUUUCUUCUGAACUUUCUGACAUUGCCUGUGCUCUAAAAACUAUGGAUUUUCGAAAUCAUUGUAUUAAAGUUUGGAAGCUUCAUGUCUUCUCUCAAGUGAUGUCUUUGUUCUGACUCAUAAUUAUUGCAAAUCCACUUAGCUGCUAAGCUAGAGACCUGCUCAGUACUAACUGCAUAGUUUUACUAGAAUUUAUCUGAACUAAGUAGAUUUAAGUGUUAACAAGAAGUCUGUAUGACAGUUAACUUGUGUCUAGCUUUCUUUGAUAUUAUGUAGCUUUAAAUAACCAUGCAUUGGUUGGUCUACAGCAACACUUAACAUAAUGUUGUUGUUUAAAUGUUCAAUGCAACAGCAAAAUGCAGCUGAUAUAACUGAAAGUGGAUAGCUGUGAUGCUUUCAGAAUAAUGCUGCUACAAUCUUGCAGGGUUAUUGCAGUUAAACAUAUAAGGUGUAGUGAUCUUUAACCUUUCAAAGCGACAGGAGUAGCAGGGAAGACCUUUGAUGUGGACACUUUCCUAGACUGAAGCAAGGCCAAUUUCUGAUAAAUGCAGUAACAUGGCAGAAAUUAAGUUGGUGAUCCCCAACCAGUGGCUCAUUAGCUAAACACAACCCAUAUUUGGCACCCCAGGAACCUUUUGCAUGUUUGUGUUGCUCUCAAACUCUUCACAUUUGAAUGUGGCUCACAGGUGAAAAGGGUUGGGUAUUCACAAGUUAAACAGCAAUUACAUUUAUGCUGCAUGCUUAAUGGCAAAUACACAAAAGUGAUAUGCUUUUGCAAUCAAUUGCCCAGUAACAUACAUAUCUGAUUCAAAAAGGGCUUGUCAGCACCCCAGUCAACUUCCCAAGACCUAGAAUAUUUGUCUUAUUGUAACCAUACAUUUAGAGUGGCUCUGCUGUCUUGUGAAUCUUUCACUAAAGGCCUAUAUUUCCAGUAAAGUCCACAAGUCAUAGUGAAGUCAAAGAUGCAGCUUUUAUAAUGCCAUGACCCUAUUCAAUAAGUCAAAGUAAAGCAGGCAGGGAUGACAAUACAUUCCAAAUUUCUUUUUGUGAAGCUGUGUUGAACAGUGUGGCCAAGAAUCCUCUGAGUAGCCAGUCAUUUGAGGCAUUGCAUGUAUACCUUUUCUCAAGAUUGCUCAGAUUGUUACUAAGGCUCUCACUUUACUAAAGUAGAUGUUAAUGUCUUAUAAACUGCAGCCCUUUAAAGGGGACAUGUUACACAGAGAUGAUGGAAAAAAAGUGUGUGAUAAAAGCCCUUUUCAAAGUAAACAUGAAACCCCAAAAAAACAUAGGAAACGAUUUGUACUUAUAAACAAAAAUUUUUAGCUGUCAAUUAUAUCUUGCCUUCCUCACCCUUAUGACUCAGGCAUAGAAGUGGGGCUGGUAGUUACCUCCACUUUCCAGUCAGCACUUCCUAGAUGUCCCAGCACUUAUUACAUUCCCCCACUCUCAUGGGUUAUAAUUGUGCACCCCAUGCAUGGGGCAUUAGGUCCCCUGUUCUAUCACAAAUUAUAGUUGUGGAUGAUACAAAGCUUGCCUUUAUAACAGUACCUACAAAAUGGCACGUGCCUGCUUGCUGCAGAUUUCAAGACUAAAGGAAACUUAAUUUAUAUAUUGUAAGUAAAGUUUAUUUUGCUUGACAAACACAAUAGUACAAAAUUGACACUUCAUGUCAGUUAGAAAUAUGGGUAAAUGAAUGUACGCAUAUUCCAAACUUCUGGCCAGGACAUCCUUUGCAGAUGCAAAGAAUUUUGCUAUCCCUAGUGGAUCUGGAUGUUACUGUUGUGAUCUUCUCUCGUGGAUCUCCGUGCCUGGAUCUUGGGGGCUUAGUUUUUCUGUAAAAAAGAAAUCAUUCCACCUACUUUACUGUAAGGUUUGCAGAAUUAUUUUGUCCUUUUUUCAUCAAAUGACAUCUCCAUUCUCAUCAAAGUGCAUAUUACGUGGAUUAGCCCUUAGUGUAAUGUCACCAAACCAAAGAGUUAUAGGAACUCUGAGGCAAGCUUUACCUUUACUUCAUCAAAUGAUCUUUAGGGACUAUGGAAUCAAUGGUUUCCUGAAACUGAAACACAACCUAAUUUUCUCAGAAAUGUAGGUCCUUUGGAUUUGACAUUUUGUGAAUUACAUGUUUUGUGAUUACUUUAAUGUAGUUAUAGAAAUGGCUUUGUGUUACUUGAUGUACAGAAUAAAGGGGAAAUAGUUAUAA
Molecule: long non-coding RNA, 5065 nt
Organism: Xenopus tropicalis (tropical clawed frog)
Lineage: Eukaryota; Metazoa; Chordata; Amphibia; Anura; Pipidae
Exons: 15
Source: RefSeq, a predicted model, not a curated record